UUAGAUAGAUCUCUUGAGAUGUUUGC
This 26-nucleotide non-coding RNA is filed under the name Mus musculus (house mouse). Lineage: Eukaryota; Metazoa; Chordata; Mammalia; Rodentia; Muridae. The record is from RNAcentral.